Molecule: ribosomal RNA, 599 nt
Filed under: uncultured bacterium
Lineage: Bacteria
Description: bacterial SSU rRNA
Rfam family: Bacterial small subunit ribosomal RNA
Source: RNAcentral
ACGCUGGCGGCGUGCCUAAACAUGCAAGUCGAGCGGUAACAGGUGUAGCAAUACAUGUUGACGAGCGGCGAACGGGUGAGUAAUGCUUCGGAAUCUGCCCAAUGGUGGGGAAUAACCAGCCGAAAGGUUGGCUAAUACCGCAUAAGUCCUACGGGGGAAAGCAGGGGAUCGCAAGACCUUGCGCCGAUGGAUGAGCCGAAGUCGGAUUAGCUAGUUGGUAGGGUAACGGCCUACCAAGGCGACGAUCCGUAGCUGGUCUGAGAGGACGACCAGCCACACUGGGACUGAGACACGGCCCAGACUCCUACGGGAGGCAGCAGUGGGGAAUAUUGGACAAUGGGGGAAACCCUGAUCCAGCGACGCCGCGUGUGUGAAGAAGGCCUGCGGGUUGUAAAGCACUUUUAGUGGGGAUGAAAAGCUCAGGGCUAAUACCUCUGGGUCUUGACCUAACCCAAAGAAAAAGCACCGGCUAACUCUGUGCCAGCAGCCGCGGUAAUACAGAGGGUGCGAGCGUUAAUCGGAAUUACUGGGCGUAAAGCGUGCGUAAACGGUUAUGUAAGUCGGGUGUGAAAACCCCGGGCUCAACCUGGGAAUUGCAU